CACUAGGGGUGCGUGUAAGCUGAGAGGAGUCCUGGACUCUGACCCUUAGAACCCGAACUGGAUAAUACCAGCGUGGGGAAGUGCAUAG
Molecule: non-coding RNA, 88 nt
Filed under: Thalassobacillus devorans
Lineage: Bacteria; Bacillati; Bacillota; Bacilli; Caryophanales; Bacillaceae
Description: TPP riboswitch (THI element)
Rfam family: TPP riboswitch aptamer (THI element)
About the family: Vitamin B(1) in its active form thiamin pyrophosphate (TPP) is an essential coenzyme that is synthesised by coupling of pyrimidine and thiazole moieties in bacteria. The previously detected thiamin-regulatory element, thi box was extended, resulting in a new, highly conserved RNA secondary structure, the THI element, which is widely distributed in eubacteria and also occurs in some archaea.
Source: RNAcentral